RNAcentral lists this ribosomal RNA (253 nucleotides) under uncultured bacterium. RNAcentral's name for it is "partial 16S ribosomal RNA". It matches the Rfam family "Bacterial small subunit ribosomal RNA", at positions 524 to 776 of the family's 1533-position model. The record is from RNAcentral.
UACGUAGGGGGCAAGCGUUGUCCGGAAUUACUGGGCGUAAAGCGUGCGCAGGCGGUUUUGCAAGCCGGAUGUGAAAUCCCCGGGCUUAACCUGGGAAUGGCAUUUGGGACUGCAAGGCUGGAGUGCGGCAGAGGAGACUGGAAUUCCUGGUGUAGCGGUGAAAUGCGCAGAUAUCAGGAGGAACACCGGUGGCGAAGGCGGAUCUCUGGGCCAUUACUGACGCUGAGGAGCGAAAGCGUGGGGAGCGAACAGG